Molecule: long non-coding RNA, 355 nt
Organism: Oncorhynchus tshawytscha (Chinook salmon)
Lineage: Eukaryota; Metazoa; Chordata; Actinopteri; Salmoniformes; Salmonidae
Source: Ensembl
UGCUGUUUGUCUUUGUAGGACAGUAGUUCAGGUGGCUGUUUGUGUAGAUGCUGUUUGUCUUUGUAGGACAGUAGUUCAGGUGGCUGUUUGUGUAGAUGCUGUUUGUCUUUGUAGGACAGUAGUUCAGGUGGCUGUUUGUCUUUGUAGGACAGUAGUUCAGGUGGCUGUUUGUGUAGAUGCUGUUUGUCUUUGUAGGACAGUAGUUCAGGUGGCUGUUUGUCUUUGUAGGACAGUAGUUCAGGUGGCUGUUUGUCUUUGUAGGACAGUAGUUCAGGUGGCUGUUUGUCUUUGUAGGACAGUAGUUCAGGUGGCUGUUUGUGUAGAUGCUGUUUGUCUUUGUAGGACAGUAGUUCAG